GACGGAGGCGCGUCAACCGGACGUGGCGGCAGAGGGAACAGGGUGAUUUUUCCGGUUUCUUACCCUGGCCAACGCAAAGGCAGUCGAGCCCUUAUCCCGCCCGCCUC
This 107-nucleotide small RNA is filed under the name Kaistia soli DSM 19436. Its description in RNAcentral is "Rhizobiales sRNA Atu_At1". It matches the Rfam family "Rhizobiales sRNA Atu_At1". The record is from Rfam by way of RNAcentral. Lineage: Bacteria; Pseudomonadati; Pseudomonadota; Alphaproteobacteria; Hyphomicrobiales; Kaistiaceae.